UACGAAGGGGGCUAGCGUUGCUCGGAAUCACUGGGCGGAAAGCGCACGUAGGCGGUCUUUUAAGUCAGGGGUGAAAUCCUGGAGCUCAACUCCAGAGCUGCCUUUGAUACUGAGAGACUUGAGUCCGGGAGAGGUGAGUGGAACUGCGAGUGUAGAGGUGAAAUUCGUAGAUAUUCGCAAGAACACCAGUGGCGAAGGCGGCUCACUGGCCCGGUACUGACGCUGAGGUGCGAAAGCGUGGGGAGCAAACAGG
This 253-nucleotide ribosomal RNA is filed under the name uncultured bacterium. Its description in RNAcentral is "partial 16S ribosomal RNA". It matches the Rfam family "Bacterial small subunit ribosomal RNA", at positions 524 to 776 of the family's 1533-position model. The record is from RNAcentral.